RNAcentral lists this unclassified non-coding RNA (263 nucleotides) under plant metagenome. RNAcentral's name for it is "partial contains small subunit ribosomal RNA, internal transcribed spacer 1, and 5.8S ribosomal RNA". The record is from RNAcentral.
UUUCCGUAGGUGAACCUGCGGAAGGAUCAUUAUUGCAUAACCGAGGUGCGAGGGCCGUCGCUGACACGAAGUGUCGUGCACGCCCGAGUGCCCUCACACACAUCCAUCUCACCCCUCUGUGCACCACCGCGUGCGUCCCCCUUUGGCUUGUUCGGAGAGGGGCUUACGUUUUCACACAAACUUUGUAUGCAGUGUAGAAUGUAUUUUUUGUUUUUGCGAUCACGCAAUCAAUACAACUUUCAACAACGGAUCUCUUGGCUCUC